This 486-nucleotide ribosomal RNA is filed under the name Sutcliffiella cohnii. RNAcentral's name for it is "bacterial SSU rRNA". It matches the Rfam family "Bacterial small subunit ribosomal RNA", at positions 87 to 559 of the family's 1533-position model. The record is from RNAcentral. Lineage: Bacteria; Bacillati; Bacillota; Bacilli; Caryophanales; Bacillaceae.
AGAAGUUAGCGGCGGACGGGUGAGUAACACGUGGGCAACCUGCCUGUAAGACUGGGAUAACUUCGGGAAACCGGAGCUAAUACCGGAUAAUAUAUAGUACCUCCUGGUACUAUAUUGAAAGUUGGUUUCGGCUAACACUUACAGAUGGGCCCGCGGCGCAUUAGCUAGUUGGUGAGGUAACGGCUCACCAAGGCAACGAUGCGUAGCCGACCUGAGAGGGUGAUCGGCCACACUGGGACUGAAACACGGCCCAGACUCCUACGGGAGGCAGCAGUAGGGAAUCUUCCACAAUGGACGAAAGUCUGAUGGAGCAACGCCGCGUGAGCGAUGAAGGCCUUCGGGUCGUAAAGCUCUGUUGUUAGGGAAAAACAAGUGCGAGAGUAACUGCUCGCACCUUGACGGUACCUAACCAGAAAGCCACGGCUAACUACGUGCCAGCAGCCGCGGGAAUACGUAGGUGGCAAGCGUUGUCCGGAAUUAUUGGGC